RNAcentral lists this unclassified non-coding RNA (348 nucleotides) under soil metagenome. RNAcentral describes it as "partial contains 5.8S ribosomal RNA, internal transcribed spacer 2, and large subunit ribosomal RNA". The stretch from base 1 to 120 matches the Rfam family "5.8S ribosomal RNA", at positions 35 to 154 of the family's 154-position model. The record is from RNAcentral.
GAUGAAGAACGUAGUGAAAUGCGAUAAGUAAUGUGAAUUGCAGAAUUCAGUGAAUCAUCGAGUCUUUGAACGCACAUUGCGCCCCCUGGUAUUCCGGGGGGCAUGCCUGUCCGAGCGUCAUUGCUGCCCUCAAGCACGGCUUGUGUGUUGGGCCCCCGCCCCCCGGCUUCGGGGGGCGGGCCCGAAAGGCAGCGGCGGCACCGCGUCCGGUCCUCGAGCGUAUGGGGCUUCGUCACCCGCUCUGUAGGCCCGGCCGGCGCCCGCCGGCGACCCCAAUCAAUCUUUCCAGGUUGACCUCGGAUCAGGUAGGGAUACCCGCUGAACUUAAGCAUAUCAAUGAGCGGAGGA